AUGAACGUUGGCGGCGUGGAUUAGGCAUGCAAGUCGCGCGAUAACUGUAGCAAUACGGGGAAAGCGGCGAAAGGGAGAGUAAUACGUGGAUACUUGCCCCCGGGACUGGGAUAGCCACGGGAAACUGUGGGUAAUACCAGAUAACAUCUCUGGAUCAAAGGUGUGAUUCCGCCUGGGGAGAGGUCCGCGGCCUAUCAGCUUGUUGGCGGGGUAACGGCCCACCAAGGCUACGACGGGUACGAGGCGUGAGGGCGUGUCCUCGCUCACUGGGACUGAGACACUGCCCAGACACCUACGGGUGGCUGCAGUCGAGAAUCUUCGGCAAUGGGCGCAAGCCUGACCGAGCGACGCCGCGUGCGGGAUGAAGGCCUUCGGGUUGUAAACCGCUGUCAGUGGGGAACAAUGGCAUGGGGGUUCUCCCCUGUGUUUGAGUGAUCCGCAGAGGAAGCGCAGGCUAAGUUCGU
This 464-nucleotide ribosomal RNA is filed under the name uncultured bacterium. RNAcentral describes it as "bacterial SSU rRNA". It matches the Rfam family "Bacterial small subunit ribosomal RNA", at positions 29 to 506 of the family's 1533-position model. The record is from RNAcentral.